UACGUAGGGGGCGAGCGUUGUCCGGAAUCAUUGGGCGUAAAGAGCUCGUAGGCGGUUCAGUAAGUCAGGUGUGAAAGCUCCGAGCUCAACUCGGAGAGGCCACCUGAUACUGCUGUGACUAGAAUCCAGUAGGGGAGUGUGGAACUCCUGGUGUAGCGGUGAAAUGCGCAGAUAUCAGGAAGAACACCGGUGGCGAAGGCGGGUCUCUGGGCCGUAACUGACGCUGAGGAGCGAAAGCGUGGGGAGCGAACAGG
RNAcentral lists this ribosomal RNA (254 nucleotides) under uncultured bacterium. RNAcentral describes it as "partial 16S ribosomal RNA". It matches the Rfam family "Bacterial small subunit ribosomal RNA", at positions 524 to 776 of the family's 1533-position model. The record is from RNAcentral.